RNAcentral lists this long non-coding RNA (2249 nucleotides) under Homo sapiens (human). Its description in RNAcentral is "HSALNT0351055". Lineage: Eukaryota; Metazoa; Chordata; Mammalia; Primates; Hominidae. The record is from RNAcentral.
CAGAAAGUUACCAGUGAAUGUGUAUUCUGAAAUAACAAACCAAAAAUAGAAAGACAUGAUUUGCUAGUUAUUCUUCAGUUCUAGUCUCUAUCCUUCUCUGUGCUUCAGGAGACUAAUAUCUACGGACUACAUUAUCUGAGCUGCCUUGCUUGUGGAUUUACCAUUGGGUUUGGCCAAUAGAGAUGUGGGCAGGAGAUCAGCAGGAAGAAACUAAGGUUGUAAUAUUUAUUGCUCAUGUUCAUCCCUUCUGGACUUCAGUUUGGCAGAAGAUGCAUCCUACCUACGACCAUGACUCCUACUGGGUGACCCUUUUCCCGCAGAUACAUCUCUUAUCAGCAGGUGCAAGAAACCUGAAUCUUAAUCCUGAAAUGGAGAAAGCCAAGAACGUCCUGAUCUAAACUACAGAGCCCUCAGAAGACUCAGAACAACACACAAGUUCUUGGGAAGCUACUGGAGGAUGUGUGUCAUCAAAACAAGGGAAUCAGCAGUCCUGUAUCUAUGAAGAAACAACUGGAAAUGAUAGGUUCUUGAAUUCCAAUUUUCUUUUAGGGCUCACAUUCUCCUCUGUUAAGUGCAUUCCCAAUCAGCUUCUUUCCUCAGGUUGGAAAGUGGCUGCCAGCAGCUACCAAGGUGCUAUCCUUCCAGAUUCACAUCCUGCAGAAAGAGCAUGAGAUUCCUGGCAGAAGAUUUGAGAUGCACUCAAAGUAUACUGGCUGAAGUCGGGCCUUAAGUCUGGAUGGGAUGCCCCUUUACCUGCUCCCAUUGGGUCCCGUACUUCCACCUUCAUAACACUAACAAUGCUAGAGUGUGGCAGCUCUCAAAGUGUCAUCCUCCAGCAGCAUCAGUAUCACCUACCUGGACAUUUCACAGAAAUGCAGAUUCUCUGGCUCCACCCACAUCCUCUGAAUCAGAAACUGUUGUGUGUGUGUGUGUGGGGGGGGGGGGUUCCGCAAGAUAUCUGUGCUUUAACAAGCCCUCUAGAAGAUUCUGAUGCACUCCCAGCUUGAGAACUCUACUUGCUCUAAUGCGAUUGCCUGUUUACUGUUGGGAUCCCACACCAGAUGUAAGCACCAGGAGGCAGGGCCGCAUCUGUUCCAUUCAACACUGUAUCUGCCAAGCCCACAGUAGGUGCUCUCCUAAUUCUAUGUGGUAGACUUCAAAAGACAAAGAAAGUGUUAUUCUCACUGGCUCUGGCCUGGACCAAGAGAAUGCAGAAAUGGCUUCCAUUCUGUGAGCUGUGACUUCUAACGUGGCCACAUAGCUGGUGGAGAGGUGACAACCUUCAUCUCCAAGGAUCCCCUGCACUGCUUGCUUUAUGCCCAGAGCAACCUCAUGCUGACAAGGACUGCACAGUUUUGAACACCCAUGCUCCAAUCAAAAGAAACCAAUUUGUGAGAGACGAUAUAAAUCCAUGAAUACUGCACUGAAACCUCUUUCUGCUCCAGGCAGAGAAGAUAAAUUACCACCCGAGUGAUAUAAAGUUAGUUUGAAUAUUUCAUUGGAUCAAAUGCAACAUGUCUCAGAACCUCUCCUCUUUUAAGUCAGAAUUAAAGAAUUGUUAUCAGGCAUAAUAAUAGACACUAUCAUUUGCAUACAUUUUAUCUCAAGAGACUUUUGAAGUUAUGCAAUACGCCAGUGGUUAAUUGUUCUUCACACUCCUGACAUAUCAAAUUACAGCUCAGAUGAGAGAGCAACCCAUUUGUGACUGGAAUGAUUGGCAGGAGCCUACAAGGAGAGCAUCUUCGAGGACUGAAGGAGGAGUAUCUUUUCAGGCUUUUCCAUGGAGACCUUGGAGACCAUGGGUUCUAGAUGGUUCUGUUAUAACAUGAUGGAGACUUCAUUAGUCUGGGUUCCUAGACGAGUGUGAAACACUUUCCCCACUGAUUGAAUUACAAUUAUAAUGUGAAAGAAAAAUAAAUCUUUAUUGUGUAAAACUACUGAAAUAUCAGAGUUACAAUACUGUAGUGUAGCAAAUUCUGGCAAAUACUUCCCAGCAUAUUUUCAAUUCCAUUUCAUUGGCCAAGCCUAGAUGAUAUGGUCACCUAUAGCUGAAGGAAGGCUGGGAAAGAUGGAAGAGGAUUGCUUAUUUGGCUUAAAAGAAUCAUGGUCUGCCCCCUGAGGCUGUUCUGACCCAGAAAAAAGUUGAGGUUCUAUUACACGGAAGCAAGAUAUUAGGUAGGCAACUUUCAGUGUCUGCCAAAUCACCAGACACUAUUCAGGCUAAACAAGGAAGAAGCUAAAGCCAAAAA